ACGGGGGCCCGCACAAGCGGUGGAGCAUGUGGUUUAAUUCGAAGCAACGCGAAGAACCUUACCAGGUCUUGACAUCCUUUGACCACUCUAGAGAUAGAGCUUCCCCUUCGGGGGGCAAAGUGACAGGUGGUGCAUGGUUGUCGUCAGCUCGUGUCGUGAGAUGUUGGGUUAAGUCCCGCAACGAGCGCAACCCUUAUUGUUAGUUGCCAUCAUUCAGUUGGGCACUCUAGCAAGACUGCCGGUGACAAACCGGAGGAAGGUGGGGAUGACGUCAAAUCAUCAUGCCCCUUAUGACCUGGGCUACACACGUGCUACAAUGGGAAGUACAACGAGUUGCGAAGUCGCGAGGCUAAGCUAAUCUCUUAAAGCUUCUCUCAGUUCGGAUUGCAGGCUGCAACUCGCCUGCAUGAAGCCGGAAUCGCUAGUAAUCGCGGAUCAGCACGCCGCGGUGAAUACGUUCCCGGGCCUUGUACACACCGCCCGUCACACCACGAGAGUUUGUAACACCCGAAGUCGGUGAGGUAACCUUUUUGGAGCCAGCCGCCUAAGGUGGGAUAGAUGAUUGGGGUGAAGUCGUAACAAGGUAGCCGUAUCGGAAGGUGCGGCUG
Molecule: ribosomal RNA, 608 nt
Filed under: Enterococcus faecium
Lineage: Bacteria; Bacillati; Bacillota; Bacilli; Lactobacillales; Enterococcaceae
Description: bacterial SSU rRNA
Rfam family: Bacterial small subunit ribosomal RNA
Source: RNAcentral